Molecule: ribosomal RNA, 472 nt
Filed under: uncultured organism
Description: partial 16S ribosomal RNA
Rfam family: Bacterial small subunit ribosomal RNA
Source: RNAcentral
UACACUCCUGCGGGAGGCAGCAGUGGGGAAUUUUGGACAAUGGGCGAAAGCCUGAUCCAGCAAUGCCGCGUGAGUGAAGAAGGCCUUCGGGUUGUAAAGCUCUUUUGUCAGGGAAGAAACGGUGAAAGCUAAUAUCUUUUGCUAAUGACGGUACCUGAAGAAUAAGCACCGGCUAACUACGUGCCAGCAGCCGCGGUAAUACGUAGGGUGCAAGCGUUAAUCGGAAUUACUGGGCGUAAAGCGUGCGCAGGCGGUUUUGUAAGUCUGAUGUGAAAUCCCCGGGCUCAACCUGGGAAUUGCAUUGGAGACUGCAAGGCUAGAAUCUGGCAGAGGGGGGUAGAAUUCCACGUGUAGCAGUGAAAUGCGUAGAUAUGUGGAGGAACACCGAUGGCGAAGGCAGCCCCCUGGGUCAAGAUUGACGCUCAUGCACGAAAGCGUGGGGAGCAAACAGGAUUAGAAACCCCUGUAGUCC